Chlorocebus sabaeus (green monkey) is the source of this 1683-nucleotide long non-coding RNA. RefSeq lists it as uncharacterized. Lineage: Eukaryota; Metazoa; Chordata; Mammalia; Primates; Cercopithecidae. The record is from RefSeq and is a predicted model, not a curated record.
AAUCGAUCGAAUUUCUAGUCGCAAUUCUCUGUCUGUCCCUCGGCUCUGGGGAGAAAGGGGGGGCUGUGGCGUGGGGGCUGAGGAGGGGCUAAGGCGGGAGGGGCUCCUCAUCACUUCACCCUCCCUUUUCGCCAUGUGGGGGCCCUGAGCGCCGCCCCAGAAGAGGUCGAGGGAAUGUUGUGGGCUGGGGCACACCGGCAGGGCAGAAACUGGAGGAAGCGAGAGACGUCGCCAGGGACCCAGGGACCUCUCCCUCCAGUUCCCCGGGCCCGCCCGGCCCUGCUCGCCACUCCCGCUAUAGCGCCCACUCUGUCCCCGGCCGUCCCGCACCAGCAGUGUAGCCCCCAGCCCGGGCGCCUGAACGCUCUCCCUCCGGAUUACUGCUCGGGUUCCCACUUUGGCGACCGUGCCCCCGAGUCCCGCUUCCCGGGGGCCUGCUCUGGAUCAGGCGCCUGCGCCUUCAAGGGUACCCGGCCCGCCUGCCCUCCCCAAGGGCCAAGUUUGCGCUCCUCCCGGAAUCGUUUGAGAGAAGGACAAACUUUUGAGAGGAUGGAAAUCUAGAGGAGCCGGUCUGCAGUAGACAAUUCUUCCCCACUCCCAGCCAUCUGCAAGCCACAGUCAGCCUGUCCCUGCUCCCGAAAAUGGAAUUGCUGAUGCCCCCAAGGCUGUUACUCUCCCAGGGUGAGUGAGAGUGAGGUCAAUGACGCCAGGUCGGAGCCUCAAACUCUUAAAUAAGCAAAGCAUAUUUCCCGAUUCCUGAUGCAUUUAGGGGUCAUCUAUCCCUUGGAAUGGAGAGGCUGGCGAUUCUGGCUGGUGGCUAUCUUUCCACAGAACACCCCUGAUUAGCCAGGCCCACCGCCAUCCACAUCUGCUCGACAAAGAAGGAAGGUAGCUUGUUCCAGACCUUGGUGAGCGGCUGCAGACUGCCUGCCUAGAACAGCCUCCUUACUCCAGCCUGGCAGGGAAGGAAGGAACCUGACUUGCUUUGCAGGAUCUGGAAUCUCAGCGUGCAGAGCUGAGAGCCGCAGUUGCAUCCUGGAGCCUGAUGCUAGAAGCAGCUUCUGUCCCUGGGUUCUUGCUGCCAUGGCCUCUGCUCUGUUCAGUUUGCUGUUGUGUUUUUCUCUCCCAUGUUGGGGUGGUGGGGUACAGGGAAAUAAAAUGUUUUUUCCCAGGCCCUUAAUCCUUCCCCAUGCCUCCAUCAGCCUCAGAGCUGCUGACAGUCAUGAACUGCAGCUUCCAGCUCUGCCCAUAAGCUACUCAAAGCAAAUUCAAAUUCUCUUCUGGCCAGGAGGAAGGGCAGAGGCUCCCUCCUUCCUCAAGCCUCCCUGGCUCGUUGAUCCAUUUUGAGGGCAUUUGGGGGUCAAAAUUGAGACCAGAUUGCUUCGGUUUGUAUAAAAUUAGCAUUUCUUACCACACCAAAGGCCACACCUGUUCUCUGCCCUCACAAACCAGUGAGGAUGUAAAGGUUUGUUGAGGUGGAGGAACAGAAGUGAAAUGAACAAUCUGCUCCAUUUAGAAGUCAGUCGCUUUGGCUGUUCAUUCCACUAAUAUUUAGCUAGUACCUACUCUGUGCCAAGCAUUGCCUCUACCUCAGUUUGCCACAAAUAUGAAAAAAACAUUUUUGCAACGGUGAGACUUCAGUGUGUUGUGGACCAAUAUACAAAUAAAACAAUUGAAAAGAAA